RNAcentral lists this ribosomal RNA (460 nucleotides) under uncultured bacterium. RNAcentral describes it as "partial 16S ribosomal RNA". It matches the Rfam family "Bacterial small subunit ribosomal RNA", at positions 338 to 795 of the family's 1533-position model. The record is from RNAcentral.
CCUACGGGAGGCAGCAGUGAGGAAUAUUGGUCAAUGGGCGCGAGCCUGAACCAGCCAAGUCGCGUGAGGGAAGACGGCCCUACGGGUUGUAAACCUCUUUUGCCGGGGAGCAACGGGCGCCACGUGUGGCGCCACUGAGAGUACCCGGAGAAAAAGCAUCGUCUAACUCCGUGCCAGCAGCCGCGGUAAUACGGAGGAUGCGAGCGUUAUCCGGAUUUAUUGGGUUUAAGGGGUGCGUAGGCGGAGCGUUAAGUCAGUGGGAAAAUGGAGGGGCUAAACCCCGUACCGCCAUUGAAACUGGCGCUCUUGAGUGGAAGAGAAGUAUGCGGAAUGCGUGGUGUAGCGGUGAAAUGCAUAGAUAUCACGCAGAACCCCGAUUGCGAAGGCAGCAUGCCGGCUUCCGACUGACGCUGAAGCACGAAAGCGUGGGGAUCGAACAGGAUUAGAUACCCUAGUAGUC